Molecule: ribosomal RNA, 1329 nt
Filed under: Escherichia coli
Lineage: Bacteria; Pseudomonadati; Pseudomonadota; Gammaproteobacteria; Enterobacterales; Enterobacteriaceae
Description: partial 23S ribosomal RNA
Rfam family: Bacterial large subunit ribosomal RNA
Source: RNAcentral
GGCCGGGCGACGGUUGUCCCGGUUUAAGCGUGUAGGCUGGUUUUCCAGGCAAAUCCGGAAAAUCAAGGCUGAGGCGUGAUGACGAGGCACUACGGUGCUGAAGCAACAAAUGCCCUGCUUCCAGGAAAAGCCUCUAAGCAUCAGGUAACAUCAAAUCGUACCCCAAACCGACACAGGUGGUCAGGUAGAGAAUACCAAGGCGCUUGAGAGAACUCGGGUGAAGGAACUAGGCAAAAUGGUGCCGUAACUUCGGGAGAAGGCACGCUGAUAUGUAGGUGAAGUCCCUCGCGGAUGGAGCUGAAAUCAGUCGAAGAUACCAGCUGGCUGCAACUGUUUAUUAAAAACACAGCACUGUGCAAACACGAAAGUGGACGUAUACGGUGUGACGCCUGCCCGGUGCCGGAAGGUUAAUUGAUGGGGUCAGCGCAAGCGAAGCUCUUGAUCGAAGCCCCGGUAAACGGCGGCCGUAACUAUAACGGUCCUAAGGUAGCGAAAUUCCUUGUCGGGUAAGUUCCGACCUGCACGAAUGGCGUAAUGAUGGCCAGGCUGUCUCCACCCGAGACUCAGUGAAAUUGAACUCGCUGUGAAGAUGCAGUGUACCCGCGGCAAGACGGAAAGACCCCGUGAACCUUUACUAUAGCUUGACACUGAACAUUGAGCCUUGAUGUGUAGGAUAGGUGGGAGGCUUUGAAGUGUGGACGCCAGUCUGCAUGGAGCCGACCUUGAAAUACCACCCUUUAAUGUUUGAUGUUCUAACGUUGACCCGUGAUCCGGGUUGCGGACAGUGUCUGGUGGGUAGUUUGACUGGGGCGGUCUCCUCCUAAAGAGUAACGGAGGAGCACGAAGGUUGGCUAAUCCUGGUCGGACAUCAGGAGGUUAGUGCAAUGGCAUAAGCCAGCUUGACUGCGAGCGUGACGGCGCGAGCAGGUGCGAAAGCAGGUCAUAGUGAUCCGGUGGUUCUGAAUGGAAGGGCCAUCGCUCAACGGAUAAAAGGUACUCCGGGGAUAACAGGCUGAUACCGCCCAAGAGUUCAUAUCGACGGCGGUGUUUGGCACCUCGAUGUCGGCUCAUCACAUCCUGGGGCUGAAGUAGGUCCCAAGGGUAUGGCUGUUCGCCAUUUAAAGUGGUACGCGAGCUGGGUUUAGAACGUCGUGAGACAGUUCGGUCCCUAUCUGCCGUGGGCGCUGGAGAACUGAGGGGGGCUGCUCCUAGUACGAGAGGACCGGAGUGGACGCAUCACUGGUGUUCGGGUUGUCAUGCCAAUGGCACUGCCCGGUAGCUAAAUGCGGAAGAGAUAAGUGCUGAAAGCAUCUAAGCACGAAACUUGCC